AACGAACGCUGGCGGCAGGCUUAACACAUGCAAGUCGAGCGCCCCGCAAGGGGAGCGGCAGACGGGUGAGUAACGCGUGGGAAUCUACCCAGCUCUACGGAAUAACUCAGGGAAACUUGUGCUAAUACCGUAUACGUCCGAUAGGAGAAAGAUUUAUCGGAGUUGGAUGAGCCCGCGUUGGAUUAGCUAGUUGGUGGGGUAAUGGCCUACCAAGGCGACGAUCCAUAGCUGGCUGAGAGGAUGAUCAGCCACACUGGGACUGAGACACGGCCCAGACUCCUACGGGAGGCAGCAGGUGGGGAAUAUUGGACAAUGGGCGAAAGCCUGAUCCAGCCAUGCCGCGUGAGUGAUGAAGGCCCUAGGGUUGUAAAGCUCUUUCAACGGUGAAGAUAAUGACGGUAACCGUAGAAGAA
This 413-nucleotide ribosomal RNA is filed under the name uncultured bacterium. Its description in RNAcentral is "bacterial SSU rRNA". It matches the Rfam family "Bacterial small subunit ribosomal RNA", at positions 29 to 489 of the family's 1533-position model. The record is from RNAcentral.